Long non-coding RNA from Triticum aestivum (bread wheat), 1665 nucleotides. RefSeq lists it as uncharacterized. The record is from RefSeq and is a predicted model, not a curated record. NCBI's taxonomy places the organism in Eukaryota, Viridiplantae, Streptophyta, Magnoliopsida, Poales, Poaceae. The transcript is spliced from 3 exons.
CCCACACACUUAUCCUCGCAUCGCAUCGCUCUCGCAGCCCUCGCAUCUCAUCGCUCCAUCGCCGCCACCUCCGUCCCCCACACCGCGGGCCGCGGCCUCUGCCCCCGAUGCCGCUCGCCGCGACCUCCGCCCCCGAUGCCGCUCGCCGCGACCUCCGCCCCCUAUGCCGUCGGUCGCCGCCUCCACCCCCACGCCGCCGGCCGCCGCCUCCAGCCACAUGUCGCGGGCCACCGCCUCCCUCUCCCAUGCUGGCGAUCGCCGGCUCCCUCCCCCACGCCGGCGCUCGCCGCCUCCCUCCCCAAUAACGCCGGCGGCUACACCAUGCUUCCAACCCCACCCGCCGCUCUUGGUGUCGGGGGUGGUCGCCCGCACUGUCGAUGUGCCGCUGCCGCGUGCAGGAAGUUCAACGGCACAAUCCCCGGCCGUUCAAUCUCGCUGCUGUGGGCGUGCCCCGCUCCAACUCCAUCGCCUCUGCUUCACUGGUAAAACAAUGCGACCUGAGGAACCACGGGGGUCGAGGACGUCCAGCUCCGCAGUCCAACUCGGCGUGAUUCAUGUCAUCGAUAGCCUUCAUGUAGCAGCCCAUGCAUGUCCCGCAAUGAGCCAGGACAGGGAAGUUGUUGGACACUAUCGUCUUCGUCGGCCGUCACGCUAUGAGUGGCUAUGGCCAUUGGUCACUGUUGGUCGUCGGUCGUUCUUCUUCGCCACCUCCUGAAGGUCAGCUUCUGGUACACGGGAAUGAAACACCAGACAAAGCAAAAUUGAGUGAUCACCGGAAUGGAACAGCCACAAUCUUUGACAUAUGGUGGUUCUUCAGUGCGCGUAUGGAAGGCCGAGAAGUUCUAUUGCUCGUAUACGCCAAGUUCAGAGAAGUUGCCGCCAACGGCGCCGGAGCAGCGGUCAAAAUUAAACUUGGUUUCAGUUUGUGCAUGAGUUUUUUACAUCAAUUUGUGCAUAUGUGUUAAUUGGUGGCUGGUGUGUGUGUGCAGGCAGGGGCGGAGCUUUGUACGGGCAGACCUGGGCCAUGGCCCGCCCAGGAUUUUUUUUUUUGCAUCAGUUCGACAAAAAAAGUGUACAAUAGUUCAAACUCUGAGAGCUAUUAAGUUUUAUUUUUUUAGAAUGGGAGUUGUAUGUUUACUCUCUGCCUGUACAGUGCAUUUUGUAUUCCUGGUCGUUGUAGUUUUUUUUGUGUUAAUAAAAAUGAAUUAUGUAUUUGUUAAUCAUUCCUCCACUUCCACUAGAAGAAAAGUGAUUUAGACUCUUUAUUGCAAUCAGUUAGUUAACUAUCUUAGUUCAACGAGUUAACCGUCUCGAUUCACUUUUCUUGCUUCCAGGGCCAACCACGGUCGCCGCUCCUCGACCCUAUUCCCGUUCGUCUGAUGGUGCUCUUGUUUCAGGGCCGGGGGAGAAGGCAGAACCUCUGGGUGCAUGAUGGAAAAAAAUUGCAAGUUCUUGUUUAGAGGUUCAGGAUACCCUUCUCUCAUUUCAUUUAUGUUCAGGAUAGCAGGUGCAUGAUGGAAAAUUGUGUAUCAUGUAGUUCUUGUUUAGAUGUCGUGCAAAUUCAAAAAUUGUCGAUUUUGCCAUUGGAGAGAACCCGUUGGUUGCAUUGUUUUUGCAGUGUGACGUCCCUUGGUAUGUUUGGAGUAUUGUUAUUGUUGCUUUGCA